RNAcentral lists this ribosomal RNA (461 nucleotides) under uncultured Actinomycetes bacterium. RNAcentral's name for it is "bacterial SSU rRNA". It matches the Rfam family "Bacterial small subunit ribosomal RNA", at positions 355 to 828 of the family's 1533-position model. The record is from RNAcentral. Lineage: Bacteria; Bacillati; Actinomycetota; Actinomycetes.
CAGGGAAUUUUGCGCAAUGGGCGAAAGCCUGACGCAGCAACGCCGCGUGGGGGAUGAAGGCCUUCGGGUUGUAAACCCCUUUCUAGGAGGAACGAAAUUGACGGUACCUUCAGAAGAAGCCCCGGCCAACUACGUGCCAGCAGCCGCGGUAAUACGUAGGGGGCGGAGCGUUGUCCGGAAUCAUUGGGCGUAAAGAGCUCGUAGGCGGCUGAGUAAGUCGGCGGUGAAAUUCCAAGGCUCAACCUUGGCACUGCCGUCGAUACUGCUCUGGCUAGAGUCCGGUAGAGGAGAACGGAAUUCCCGGUGUAGCGGUGGAAUGCGCAGAUAUCGGGAGGAACACCUGUAGCGAAGGCGGUUCUCUGGGCCGGAACUGACGCUGAGGAGCGGAAAGCGUGGGGGAGCAAACAGGAUUAGAUACCCUGGUAGUCCACGCCGUAAACGUUGGGCACUAGGUGUGGCGA